GUAUGAAAAUUGGUGAUUUAUAAUAACUUAGCAAAUCGCAAAGUGAAAACAGGCGAUAAAUCAUUCAAGUUUCUGACCUAUCAGCUUUCGACGGUAUGGUAUUGGCUUACCGUGGCAGUGACGGUUAACGGGGGAUUAGGGUUCGAUUCCGGAGAGGGAGCCUGAGAAACGGCUACCACAUCUAAGGAAGGCAGCAGGCGCGCAAAUUACCCAAUUCUAACAGUUUGAGAGAGGUAGUAACAAGAAAUAACAAUACAAGGCAGUUAAAAUGCUUUGUAAUUGGAAUGAUAGAAAUUUAAACCCUUUUUAAAGUAUCAAUUGGAGGGCAAGUCUGGUGCCAGCAGCCGCGGUAAUUCCAGCUCCAAUAGCGUAUAUUAAAAUUGUUGCAGUUAAAAAGCUCGUAGUUGAAGUUCUGCUGAAAGUAACCGGUCUGCUUUUAAUAAAAGUGGUAUCUUGGUAUGUAUUUAGCAAUGAUGUCCUUUGA
This 484-nucleotide ribosomal RNA is filed under the name Hepatozoon canis. RNAcentral's name for it is "SSU rRNA". It matches the Rfam family "Eukaryotic small subunit ribosomal RNA", at positions 234 to 713 of the family's 1831-position model. Lineage: Eukaryota; Apicomplexa; Hepatozoidae. The record is from RNAcentral.